This is a small nuclear RNA of Erinaceus europaeus (western European hedgehog), 164 nucleotides long. Its record names the gene U1. It matches the Rfam family "U1 spliceosomal RNA". From Rfam's summary of the family: U1 is a small nuclear RNA (snRNA) component of the spliceosome (involved in pre-mRNA splicing). Its 5' end forms complementary base pairs with the 5' splice junction, thus defining the 5' donor site of an intron. There are significant differences in sequence and secondary structure between metazoan and yeast U1 snRNAs, the latter being much longer (568 nucleotides as compared to 164 nucleotides in human). The record is from Ensembl. NCBI's taxonomy places the organism in Eukaryota, Metazoa, Chordata, Mammalia, Eulipotyphla, Erinaceidae.
AUACUUACCUGGCAGGGGAGUUACCAUGAUCACGAAGGUGGUUUUCCCAGAGCGAGGCUUAUCCGUUGCACUCCGGAUGUGCUGACCUCUGCAAUUUCCCUAAAUGUGGGAAACUCGACUGCAUAAUUUGUGGUAGUGGGGGACUGCGUUUGCGCUCUCCCCUG